UAGGGAAUCUUCGGCAAUGGACGAAAGUCUGACCGAGCAACGCCGCGUGAGUGAAGAAGGUUUUCGGAUCGUAAAACUCUGUUGUUAGAGAAGAACAAGGACGUUAGUAACUGAACGUCCCCUGACGGUAUCUAACCAGAAAGCCACGGCUAACUACGUGCCAGCAGCCGCGGUAAUACGUAGGUGGCAAGCGUUGUCCGGAUUUAUUGGGCGUAAAGCGAGCGCAGGCGGUUUCUUAAGUCUGAUGUGAAAGCCCCCGGCUCAACCGGGGAGGGUCAUUGGAAACUGGGAGGCUUGGGUGCAGAAGAGGAGAGUGGAAUUCCAUGUGUAGCGGUGAAAUGCGUAGAUAUAUGGGGGAAAACCAGUGGGGAAGGCGGCUCUCUGGUCUGUAACUGACGCUGAGGCUCGAAAGCGUGGGGAGCAAACAGG
RNAcentral lists this ribosomal RNA (429 nucleotides) under Gemmatimonadota bacterium. RNAcentral describes it as "Gemmatimonadetes bacterium partial 16S ribosomal RNA". It matches the Rfam family "Bacterial small subunit ribosomal RNA", at positions 355 to 776 of the family's 1533-position model. Lineage: Bacteria; Pseudomonadati; Gemmatimonadota. The record is from RNAcentral.